Molecule: long non-coding RNA, 394 nt
Organism: Contarinia nasturtii (swede midge)
Lineage: Eukaryota; Metazoa; Arthropoda; Insecta; Diptera; Cecidomyiidae
Exons: 2
Source: RefSeq, a predicted model, not a curated record
UCAGUUGGCCAUGAAGUUAAGACAGUGUCAUUUGGCUCAAGUUUUAAUAAGAAUAUUCAACAAUUGAGAACAAUGUUAUUGUCAACGCGAAUUCAUUUUGCUUCAAAAUAGAACGUUAUACAUGAUGUAUCAAGUCAGUUACGUUUCUAUUCUAAGAAUCCCGAUGAGGUAGAACAGUGGAUAUCUGCGCUGGAUGUGGCGCAACAAAAACGUAUUAGGUUCUUUCAAAAUGAAGUUACCUUGAAACGUGAUCAAGGUGAAAGUGUGCCAACAGAUAGAAGUAGAACAACUCACCAUUGAACAAUACCAACAUCUUAUGAAUUCAGCAAAUGAUCAACGUAUAAAAUAUUACAACUAUUUAAAUAAAACGGAAAGGUCAAACGCCAACACUCCA